UACGUAUGGUGCAAGCGUUAUCCGGAUUUACUGGGUGUAAAGGGAGCGUAGACGGCUGUGUAAGUCUGAAGUGAAAGCCCGGGGCUCAACCCCGGGACUGCUUUGGAAACUAUGCAGCUAGAGUGUCGGAGAGGUAAGUGGAAUUCCCAGUGUAGCGGUGAAAUGCGUAGAUAUUGGGAGGAACACCAGCGGCGAAGGCGGCUUACUGGACGAUGACUGACGUUGAGGCUCGAAAGCGUGGGGAGCAAACAGG
This 253-nucleotide ribosomal RNA is filed under the name Coprococcus comes ATCC 27758. RNAcentral's name for it is "partial 16S ribosomal RNA". It matches the Rfam family "Bacterial small subunit ribosomal RNA", at positions 524 to 776 of the family's 1533-position model. Lineage: Bacteria; Bacillati; Bacillota; Clostridia; Lachnospirales; Lachnospiraceae. The record is from RNAcentral.